This 413-nucleotide transfer-messenger RNA is filed under the name Patescibacteria group. RNAcentral's name for it is "CG2-30-36-39 sp001873435 Standard tmRNA". It matches the Rfam family "transfer-messenger RNA". Rfam says of the family: Bacterial tmRNA, also known as 10Sa RNA or SsrA, is named for its dual tRNA and mRNA-like properties. Its role is to liberate the mRNA from a stalled ribosome. To accomplish this part of the tmRNA is used as a reading frame that ends in a translation stop signal. RNAcentral also lists the same sequence under 4 other names. The record is from RNAcentral.
GGGGAUGUAUUGCAUCGACGUAACCGCUCUUUACCAAUUGCAGACCAUCUUUGACUAAAAGAUGUAAAAAAGAGUCAAACAAUUACAACUGCCAAAUCAAUGCGCAGCACAGUUGCUAACUUCGUGAACGAAGCCGUCGCCGGUUUCCAAUCAAUGUUUGCAGCUCCAGCUAAGCUUUACGCUUAACUAGGCAUCUAUGAAGACUCUCUCACUGACGGAACUUCAUAGGUGGAAACACAGUCCGUGUGCAAAGUAAUGCCAUUGCACAGCAUUACUCCAAGAAUUUGUGCAGGUUUUUUAAGAAUGGUUUGAAAGUAUUUCCACUUAAAAAACAACCAAAAAUUUUCUAAGUCUGUAGAAGUUGGCGAAACGUGAGUUAACGGACGGGGGUUCAUUACCCCCCAUCUCCACCA